GAGUUUGAUCCUGGCUCAGAAUCAACGCUGGCGGCGUGCCUAACACAUGCAAGUCGCACGAGAAAGGGGCUUCGGCCCUGAGUACAGUGGCGCACGGGUGAGUAACACGUGAAUCAUCUACCUUCGAGUGGGGAAUAACUGGGAGAAAUCUCAGCUAAUACCGCAUAAUACCUACGGGUCAAAGCAGCAAUGCGCUUGAAGAGGAGUUCGCGGCAGAUUAGUUAGUUGGCGGGGUAAUGGCCCACCAAGACGAUGAUCUGUAUCCGGCCUGAGAGGGCGCACGGACACACUGGAACUGAAACACGGUCCAGACUCCUACGGGAGGCAGCAGUGGGGAAUUUUGCGCAAUGGGGGAAACCCUGACGCAGCAACGCCGCGUGGAGGAUGAAAUCCCUUGGGAUGUAAACUCCUUUCGAUCGGGACGAUUAUGACGGUACCGGAAGAAGAAGCCCCGGCUAACUUCGUGCCAGCAGCCGCGGUAAUACGAGGGGGGCAAGCGUUGUUCGGAAUUAUUGGGCGUAAAGGGCGCGUAGGCGGUUUGACAAGUCUGAUGUGAAAUCUAUGGGCUCAACCCAUAGCCUGCAUUAGAAACUGUCGGGCUUGAGUAUGGGAGAGGUGAGUGGAAUUUCCGGUGUAGCGGUGAAAUGCGUAGAUAUCGGAAGGAACACCUGUGGCGAAAGCGGCUCACUGGACCAUAACUGACGCUGAGGCGCGAAAGCUAGGGGAGCAAACAGGAUUAGAUACCCUGGUAGUCCUAGCCCUAAACGAUGAUUGCUUGGUGUGACAG
This 787-nucleotide ribosomal RNA is filed under the name uncultured bacterium. RNAcentral describes it as "bacterial SSU rRNA". It matches the Rfam family "Bacterial small subunit ribosomal RNA", at positions 9 to 828 of the family's 1533-position model. The record is from RNAcentral.